UUUACCUCCGGAAACGAACAGGGUUCUCUUACUUGCUUAUUUUCCACAUUCUCCCCAACUGGAGAUGGAGUUGUAUUGCUAUUUAUUUUCAAUUCACGAGACUGAUAAACCAAGCCAGAGGCAUUAAAGUGUCCAUUCACAUGCGGAAAGCCUCCACUGGGAGCAUUAUCUACAGAAGAACUCCUCGAGCAAAGCCCCCCCAUUGC
This 206-nucleotide unclassified non-coding RNA is filed under the name Hevea brasiliensis (rubber tree). The record is from RNAcentral. Lineage: Eukaryota; Viridiplantae; Streptophyta; Magnoliopsida; Malpighiales; Euphorbiaceae.